This 254-nucleotide ribosomal RNA is filed under the name uncultured bacterium. RNAcentral's name for it is "partial 16S ribosomal RNA". It matches the Rfam family "Bacterial small subunit ribosomal RNA", at positions 524 to 776 of the family's 1533-position model. The record is from RNAcentral.
UACGGGGGGAGCAAGCGUUGUUCGGAUUUACUGGGUGUAAAGGGCGCGUAGGCGGUCGUGACAAGUCACUUGUGAAAUCUCCGGGCUUAACUCGGAACGGUCAAGUGAUACUGUCGGACUAGAGUACAGAAGGGGCAACUGGAAUUCUCGGUGUAGCGGUGAAAUGCGUAGAUAUCGAGAGGAACACCUGCGGCGAAGGCGGGUUGCUGGGCUGAUACUGACGCUGAGGCGCGAAAGCCAGGGGAGCGAACGGG